AUCCCCCCAAGGUCGUGUUGGAUGAGAACCUGCGUUCAGGUUCGAGCCGAGCGAAGCGAGACGACAACGCGCAGCGUUGCCCGCAGGGCGAGGCCAAAGGCCGAGUCAAUCCUGCACGACCCACCA
This 126-nucleotide small RNA is filed under the name Serratia rubidaea. RNAcentral describes it as "RtT sRNA". It matches the Rfam family "RtT RNA". Rfam says of the family: This family represents a bacterial cis-regulatory element known as RtT RNA. The record is from RNAcentral. Lineage: Bacteria; Pseudomonadati; Pseudomonadota; Gammaproteobacteria; Enterobacterales; Yersiniaceae.